This 708-nucleotide ribosomal RNA is filed under the name Rhizobium sp. Its description in RNAcentral is "bacterial SSU rRNA". It matches the Rfam family "Bacterial small subunit ribosomal RNA", at positions 73 to 774 of the family's 1533-position model. The record is from RNAcentral. Lineage: Bacteria; Pseudomonadati; Pseudomonadota; Alphaproteobacteria; Hyphomicrobiales; Rhizobiaceae.
AAGGAAUUACUCCUUGAAACAGAAGAUCAAGACAGCCUCCCUGAAACUUUCUUGAUGGAGGGGAACGGCAAACGGGUGAGUAACGCGUGGGAAUCUACCCUUUUCUACGGAAUAACCCAGGGAAACUUGUGAUAAUACCGUAUGUGUCCUUCGGGAGAAAGAUUUAUCGGGCCAGGAUGAGCCCGCGUUGGAUUACCUAGUUGGUGGGGUAAAGGCCUACCACCGCGACGAUCCAUACCUGGUCUGAGAGGAUGAUCAGCCACAUUGCGACUGAGACCCGGCCCAAACUCCUACGGGAGGCACUAGUGGGGAAUAUUGGACAAUGGGCGCAAGCCUGAUCCAGCCAUGCCGCGUGAGUGAUGAAGGACCUAGGGUUGUAAAGCUCUUUCACCGGAGAAGAUAAUGACGGUAUCCGGAGAACAAGCCCCCGCUAAUUUCGUGCCUGCAAUCGCGGUCAUACGAAGGGGGCUAGCGUUGUUCGGAAUUACUGGGUGUAAUGCGCUCGUAGGUCGAUCCAUCACUCAUGGGUGAAAUCCCACGGCUCAACCCUGGAAAUGACUUUGAUACCGUCCAUCUGGAGUAUAGAAGAUGUGAGUGGAACUCCGAGAGUGAAGGUGAAACUCGCAGAUAUUCUGAGGAACACAUGUGGGGAAGGGGGCUCCAGGGUCUCUUACUCCAGCUGAGGCGCGAAAAUUUGGGGAGUAAACA